CAUUACGCUGCCUAUCGAAAAUCGGCACGAACUUUCCGAACAACCCAAUAUAUGGAUAAAAAACGAUUUGGCCUAGUGGCGCUAAAUCCUACACAAAUUCUAGAAGGUUCUAAAAUUCGAGGGAUUAACAGUGCACGAGAGACAUUCGCUAAGUACUGUAAUAGAAUUAAUUUACAGAAUUGUGAUAAAAUUUCACAAUACUGUAUUAAAGAGAGAUGUACCAACUCAGCUGUUAUAUUUCUCUCUAAUAUCUUUGAGUCGUCUGAUCUCAACGAUAAAUGCUGUACAUUAUACGUAAUAAAAUCAGUUUCUUGCAGUAC
RNAcentral lists this long non-coding RNA (320 nucleotides) under Androctonus crassicauda. The record is from RNAcentral. Lineage: Eukaryota; Metazoa; Arthropoda; Arachnida; Scorpiones; Buthidae.